This is a small nuclear RNA of Peromyscus eremicus (cactus mouse), 161 nucleotides long. RefSeq annotates it as U1 spliceosomal RNA. The transcript has a single exon. NCBI's taxonomy places the organism in Eukaryota, Metazoa, Chordata, Mammalia, Rodentia, Cricetidae. The record is from RefSeq and is a predicted model, not a curated record.
AUUCUUACCUGGCAGGGGAUAAGCCAUGAUCAAAAGGUGGUUUUCUUGGGGCAAGGCUCAUCCCUUGCACACCAGAUGUGCUAAACCCUAAGAUUUCUCCAAAUGUGGGAAACUCAUCUGUAUAAUUUGUGGUAGUGGGGACUAUGUUCAUGCUGUCUCCU